Non-coding RNA from Lolium perenne, 415 nucleotides. The record is from RefSeq and is a predicted model, not a curated record. Lineage: Eukaryota; Viridiplantae; Streptophyta; Magnoliopsida; Poales; Poaceae.
AUGUCCCUACAAUGGCAGUCUAGUGUGCGCCUGCGGGGAGUCCACCAGAAGAUGGUCGUAGCCGGCAGCCGGCUACAAUUCCUGCAAGGACGCCGACCCUGCUCCCAGAUUUCUGUGGUCCGCCCAGAGGUACCCUCCAACCAGCUCUCACAUGGUUGUGAUUGCUGAAUUGAACUGCUCUGCACGCCCUACCACAGCUUACAAGUUCACGGUCGCCUCCCUCAGGAGCCCAUCACACUCCGCUGUGCAGUCCACCUUGCGCGUCGUCCUGAAGUACACCUUGCGCCCCUUCUCCCGCUCUCGGCUGUGACUCCUCCUAAGCUUCGCUGAUAAGUUCAUUUGCUUCCUAAUAUGGAGGUGUACAUCGAUCGGCAAUUUUCUGGAAAACUAGGAGAGAUACUGAUAAGGUAACAAU